CUCCUCUUCUGCGGCCGAGCCCGUCUCACGAUUUUCUAGAAAAAGCCGAACGGCCGCGCGGGGUACUUUCCCGCAGGAAAAACCAGUAGAGAAUAAUUCGCUGUCAUUCAAGGUAAACCAUGGCAGCUGUCUGAGCAGCAACGGGGACCGCUGAAACCCAUCCAGCUGGUACUCUGCGAGUCAGACUCAUCGCUUGCGAGGCCUCCCUGUGACAGCUCCCAUAUGUUGACAUCAUCCAUAUACUUUCUUGCUUUGUGGGACUCAAUUUAUGACUGAAAGGUGAUGAUCAAAGAAAGGCUAGGCAUCUCUUCAAACAUGCCAAAGGAGAGUUAGAAGAUGCCCGAAUGUUGUGCCUAGUCAUGGAUAUUUCAAGAGAUUUAAGGCUUCUGCUGGAAUUCAGAAUGUCUCACUGGGAUUCUCCAUUUUUUCUCAAGUUCAGUGGGGCUUUCCUCUGCUUCAUUCUGUGCUAUGGGGUUCUUGUAUAGGUUCUUGACCACCUCAACAGUGACGCCCGUUCCAUUCUCCCCACGUUCAUCCAAUACUGCUCCUUUCUGAGCUCCUGCUGACUUUCCAGGAAGACUAGUCCUGCUAUUUGAGGGUCUACAAAUUAAAUGAUACUAUCUAUCCUUCUCAGUUAGUCUGGGAAUAAACUUUCAAUAAAAUUGAUCAUGGAAAAUUUAUUUACUACACUUUUAAAGCAAUUGAUUUCUCAUGACAAAAAUCUAGAAAUUCAGAGUUUAUUUUUUUGUUGUUAAUUCUACCAAGUCAAGAGUUCUAGAUUUUAACAUGAUUCUUUUAUCAGGUUUAUAAAAUGUCUAACAAACAUUUUUCUGUGUGCAGUAUAUUGUUGCCAGUAUUUUGUAUCGAUUGUUUCUGCUGGUGAUAUUAAUUAUAAUUUGGAUGAAAGACUGA
Long non-coding RNA from Herpailurus yagouaroundi (jaguarundi), 912 nucleotides. RefSeq lists it as uncharacterized. Lineage: Eukaryota; Metazoa; Chordata; Mammalia; Carnivora; Felidae. The transcript is spliced from 5 exons. The record is from RefSeq and is a predicted model, not a curated record.